CCCUCAAAGCCCUCAAUCAUUGUACAGCCUAUUCAAAACUAGUACUUUUACUUGAAGGUGUUUGAUGAAGUAAAAACUCCCAUCAGAACUAAUAUUGAUCAGUUACAUUGUGACCAAAAUCAAGUUUGUUGCCAUCAGUAAAAUCACAUUUGGUUAUUUAUAGGUCUUUGUUUUGUUCAAUCAUAUUAUGAUUUGGUGGGAGUAUUAGUGGCCAGUUGAGUAAAUUGAAUGAACCAUUCAUGUUCUGGGGUGAUCCACAAGCUGAUUACCUGUGUUGAUUGCCACACCUGUGUUGGUUUGCCAUACUUACCUGGGUGAUCACACAGAGAGGAAGUUAUGUGGAGUAGAGCAGAGAAGCAGAUUUGGGCCAGACGCUUGUGGGCUUCAUUGUCAUUGAAGAGUUUGCACCCUUGGGCCUUCGCCUGUUGCUGCAUCUUGGCCCAAAGCAUCCUCAUCACCCUCCAACUUCAGAGCUGGGUCUGAGUUGACCUGAAAUGAAAACAAAGCCUUUAAAGGGGGUGCCCAGACACCGGUGGCUGGUGGAGGGGAGAGCACCUUUCUACUCGCCGUCCAGGUGCGACCACACGCGCCCGCCCGCCUCCCUGCCUGAACCACCUCCACGUUGGGGGAAACUGAGGCCCACACUACCUAUAACCCCGGCCCGCACCACUGCUAAUGGCGGCCUGCGUGCAUCUACACAUUGAGCACCCCUGACUAACGUGCUUUAUUAAAUUAUGACGACGCGGCUCUUUUGUUACGUUCUGAGAGGAGGACUCCAUUACGUUGUCGCACCCGAAUACCUGGAAUGUUUGGGAGGAUAGCUGUCGACGGAGCUUCUUUACUACCACUGCUGCUUUUGGACAAGUACAGGUUUUAACAGUUUUAAAAAAACCCGUUCCAUUUAUAUUAGGAAGCCUACAGAAGUGUAAAAGCAAUGCACAUCUUGAUGACAGGACAUGAUGAUCUUAAUGAUGUGUUGUGUGACAAACAUACAAAUUAAACAAAUCCCGAAAUGAUGAAAUAGUGGAGAAUUAUUUAGUACAAUGGUUAAAAAAAAAAAAAAGUUAAAAAAAAAACACUUCAAAAACCAGAUCUAGAACCACAUAUAUCGGCACUGUUUAUCUUGUCUUGACAUGUUUUUGUUGUGAUUUUAAACUUACUAACUUCAAGAUUAGCCCAAAAAAAGGUUUGAAAUAUUUAUAUGAAAGAGAAAUAUUUUAAGAUAAAAACACCAGCAUGUGUUUUAUUUGAUGCAUACUGUUAAUGAGUGUUGUUAAAAGGUUGCUUUUCAUUUGAUGUCGAUCUAGCUAUUUUAAUGAAACUCCUAAAAUGGC
Syngnathoides biaculeatus (alligator pipefish) is the source of this 1334-nucleotide long non-coding RNA. RefSeq lists it as uncharacterized. The transcript has 4 exons. Lineage: Eukaryota; Metazoa; Chordata; Actinopteri; Syngnathiformes; Syngnathidae. The record is from RefSeq and is a predicted model, not a curated record.